AUGAACGCUGGCGGCGUGCCUAAUACAUGCAAGUCGAGCGAACAGAUAAGGAGCUUGCUCCUUUGACGUUAGCGGCGGACGGGUGAGUAACACGUGGGUAACCUACCUAUAAGACUGGGAUAACUUCGGGAAACCGGAGCUAAUACCGGAUAACAUUUGGAACCGCAUGGUUCUAAAGUGAAAGAUGGUUUUGCUAUCACUUAUAGAUGGACCCGCGCCGUAUUAGCUAGUUGGUAAGGUAACGGCUUACCAAGGCGACGAUACGUAGCCGACCUGAGAGGGUGAUCGGCCACACUGGAACUGAGACACGGUCCAGACUCCUACGGGAGGCAGCAGUAGGGAAUCUUCCGCAAAAGGCGAAAGCCUGACGGAGCAACGCCGCGUGAGUGAUGAAGGGUUUCGGCUCGUAAAACUCUGUUAUUAGGGAAGAACAAAUGUGUAAGUAACUGUGCACGUCUUGACGGUACCUAAUCAGAAAGCCACGGCUAACUACGUG
This 496-nucleotide ribosomal RNA is filed under the name uncultured bacterium. Its description in RNAcentral is "partial 16S ribosomal RNA". It matches the Rfam family "Bacterial small subunit ribosomal RNA", at positions 29 to 507 of the family's 1533-position model. The record is from RNAcentral.